GCGAGAUUAAAAUUUCACCCCGCUGGAAGUCACAGUUACGAGAACCCAAGACCUAAUCUGCUGGCAAAAAGAAAAUGGGAGUCUCGCCAUCUUGCCCAGGCUCAUUUCAAACUCCUGAGCACAAGCGAUCCUUCAUCUUGGCGUCCUGAACUGCUGGGAUUAAAGGCACAGUGGCUCAUAUCUGUACGACCAGCUACUUGGAAGAUUGAGGAGGGAGUAUCCCUUGAGUCCAGGAGUUCCGAUCAGAUUGAGCAAUAUAAAGAGACCCCGUCACAAAACAAAAUAAACAAGAAAAAAUUUAAUUUGUAUUUAUGGGGUGAGUAAAAAAU
RNAcentral lists this long non-coding RNA (329 nucleotides) under Homo sapiens (human). RNAcentral's name for it is "HSALNT0317055". Lineage: Eukaryota; Metazoa; Chordata; Mammalia; Primates; Hominidae. The record is from RNAcentral.